Molecule: ribosomal RNA, 244 nt
Filed under: uncultured bacterium
Lineage: Bacteria
Description: partial 16S ribosomal RNA
Rfam family: Bacterial small subunit ribosomal RNA
Source: RNAcentral
AGAGUUUGAUCAUGGCUCAGGAUGAACGCUAGCUACAGGCUUAACACAUGCAAGUCGAGGGGCAGCAUGAACUUAGCUUGCUAAGUUUGAUGGCGACCGGCGCACGGGUGCGUAACGCGUAUGCAACCUACCCAUAACAGGGGCAUAACACUGAGAAAUUGGUACUAAUUCCCCAUAACAUUCGAAGAGGCAUCUCUUUGGGUUGAAAACUCCGGUGGUUAUGGAUGGGCAUGCGUUGUAUUAG